Molecule: ribosomal RNA, 891 nt
Filed under: Hepatozoon canis
Lineage: Eukaryota; Apicomplexa; Hepatozoidae
Description: bacterial SSU rRNA
Rfam family: Eukaryotic small subunit ribosomal RNA
Source: RNAcentral
CAGCAAAACUGCAAAUGGCUCAUUAAAACAGUUAUUGUUUACUUGAUAAUAAUUUUUACAUGGAUAACCGUGGUAAUUCUACAGCUAAUACAUGAGCAAAAUCUCAACUUUAUUAGAAGAGACGCAUUUAUUAGAUAAAAAGCCAGUUCAUGCUUUUAUAGUAUGAAAAUUGGUGAUUUAUAAUAACUUAGCAAAUCGCAAAGUGAAAACAGGCGAUAAAUCAUUCAAGUUUCUGACCUAUCAGCUUUCGACGGUAUGGUAUUGGCUUACCGUGGCAGUGACGGUUAACGGGGGAUUAGGGUUCGAUUCCGGAGAGGGAGCCUGAGAAACGGCUACCACAUCUAAGGAAGGCAGCAGGCGCGCAAAUUACCCAAUUCUAACAGUUUGAGAGAGGUAGUAACAAGAAAUAACAAUACAAGGCAGUUAAAAUGCUUUGUAAUUGGAAUGAUAGAAAUUUAAACCCUUUUUAAAGUAUCAAUUGGAGGGCAAGUCUGGUGCCAGCAGCCGCGGUAAUUCCAGCUCCAAUAGCGUAUAUUAAAAUUGUUGCAGUUAAAAAGCUCGUAGUUGAAGUUCUGCUGAAAGUAACCGGUCUGCUUUUAAUAAAAGUGGUAUCUUGGUAUGUAUUUAGCAAUGAUGUCCUUUGAAGUGUUUUUUACUUUAUUGUAAUAAAGCAUAUUCAGGACUUUUACUUUGAGAAAAUUAGAGUGUUUCUAGCAGGCUAACGCUUUGAAUACUGCAGCAUGGAAUAAUAAGAUAGGAUUUUAGUUCUACAUUAUUGGUUUUAAGAGCUAAAUUAAUGAUUGAUAGGGACAGUUGGGGGCAUUUGUAUUUAACUGUCAGAGGUGAAAUUCUUAGAUUUGUUAAAGACAAACUACUGCGAAAGCAUUUGCC